Long non-coding RNA from Manihot esculenta (cassava), 1057 nucleotides. RefSeq lists it as uncharacterized. The transcript has 2 exons. The record is from RefSeq and is a predicted model, not a curated record. Lineage: Eukaryota; Viridiplantae; Streptophyta; Magnoliopsida; Malpighiales; Euphorbiaceae.
UGGAGAUAGAGAGAAUCCAUGUGUUUCCAAGCACUCGCAGACAAAAUGAGCUUCAGAGAUGAAAAGCAACCUUUGCUUUACGACCCAGAAAAGGAGAUUUCAAAACCACCAGAAGGGUUAGCUUGGGAAAUUGCGUGGUUACUAACCCAACCACACCCCAUUUUCUCUUCUCUCUCGCUCUCACUCUCAGAUCAUGGUGUCUAUAUUUAGUUGCAAGCUGGGGUGCAACUACAACCCCACAUCUUUCCUUCUUUCCCUCUUAAAAUUCUACAUACAAACCCCACAAAAAAAAACUUCCGCCACCCUCCCUUCCCUCAAGUUUUAGCCACUGGCUUGCUUGUUUUAUGCCAAUUCAGAAGGGCUUUGUGGGGCUUUGAGACUCCUCUCUAGGUAUUUGAUUAUGACCCAGUUCCUAUUUUCCACAGAUCUCUCUCCAUAAAUACCAAUAUCCUCUCCUUUCUCCUUCCCUUCAACAUCACUUUCAUCUCUCUCUCCGUAAAUACUAUCUCCAUGGAAGUUUGCUUGACUUACUGUGCACUUCAAGCUCAUGCUCAUACGCUCAUACAUAAGCAUAUGAUCAUCACAUACAUGUACAACAAUCAUAUAUAGGUUUGCAUAUGCAUGCUUUAACAUCAAGCAUACAUGUAUAUUUUAUGUGCCUGGCUCCCUGUAUGCCAUUUGCAGAGCCCACCGGAGAAUCGAUGGCCUCCGUGGAUGGCGUAUGAGGAGCCAUGCAUAUUCUCAUAUGUGUCAUCCAUGGUGUAUUUGCAGGAAUAUUACUGAAGAAGCUAGCCUAGCUAUUAAUUAGUUAUAAUUAAUAGGCCUAGUUAAAGCUUCAAGGGGCAUCAUUGUAAUUUCGAAAAGAUUCAGGUUCUCCUCUGAAGCUUUAGCAGGCCAUUUGGUACAUAUGAAGAAACACACAAAUGACAACCCCCACUUGCUCUAGGGCCCUUUUCUGAUCUUUUUGGCUUUGCUUUUUGUAUUAAAAAUCAAAAUCAAAUGGAAUUGAAGAUGAAUAGUAAAAUGCAGCAAAGGGUUCAUUGAUUUAUCUUAUCAA